AUCGGAGACAGGUGCUGCAUGGCUGUCGUCAGCUCGUGUCGUGAGAUGUUGGGUUAAGUCCCGCAACGAGCGCAACCCUCGCCCUUAGUUGCCAGCAUUCAGUUGGGCACUCUAAGGGGACUGCCGGUGAUAAGCCGAGAGGAAGGUGGGGAUGACGUCAAGUCCUCAUGGCCCUUACGGGCUGGGCUACACACGUGCUACAAUGGUGGUGACAGUGGGCAGCGAGACCGCGAGGUCGAGC
This 241-nucleotide ribosomal RNA is filed under the name Bartonella krasnovii. Its description in RNAcentral is "Candidatus Bartonella krasnovii partial 16S ribosomal RNA". It matches the Rfam family "Bacterial small subunit ribosomal RNA", at positions 1027 to 1268 of the family's 1533-position model. RNAcentral also lists the same sequence under 1 other name. The record is from RNAcentral. Lineage: Bacteria; Pseudomonadati; Pseudomonadota; Alphaproteobacteria; Hyphomicrobiales; Bartonellaceae.